This 666-nucleotide long non-coding RNA is filed under the name Cucumis sativus (cucumber). RNAcentral describes it as "long non-coding RNA (CSAT_LNC001867)". Lineage: Eukaryota; Viridiplantae; Streptophyta; Magnoliopsida; Cucurbitales; Cucurbitaceae. The record is from RNAcentral.
AUGUAGCUGCUGAAAAAUACUAUAGAGUUUUCAAAGAAAAAGCUUUUCAUGUACCAACUAUUUCCCCAGGCAUCUUCCAACAAGUUGAAGUUCAUGAUGGUGAUUGGGACGACCAUGGCCAUGGCUCCGUUAAGACAUGGAAAUACACCUUAGGUAAGUAUUCAAAUGAUCACAACAACUACUUGUUGCUCUAAACUAGUUUUCACAAAUGGUCUUUCUUAUUGUAAAAAAUCAAUUAAUUUGUUUUUUACACGAUUUUAUUAGAUGGGAAAGACGAGGUUUUUAAAGAACAAGUGGAGUUUGAUGAUGAAAAGUAUGCAAUGACCAUGAUUGGACUAGAAGGAGAUGUGUUUACUCAUUACAAAACAUUUAAAGGAACAUAUCACGUUGUACCAAAGGGUCCUGAGCAUAGCUUGGCAGUUAUGAGUUUAGAAUAUGAAAAACUUGAUGAUGGGUCUCCUUAUCCUUAUAGUUAUCUCGACAUCAUGAAUCGUGUGACAAAGGACAUUGAAUCCCACCUAAAGUGAUAACCUUCUGUGUCUCAAUAGCUUCAUCACUCUUUCAUUCUAAAUUAUGGUUGAUUAUUGUUAUGUUGGAGUUGCUUUUUCUUGUCAAGUUUGUUUCUAAACAUGUGUGUACUACCUCUUGUCUUUCUUAAUGCUUAUU